CUUGGCUUCCGAGAUAACUCCAACCCAUGUGACCAUACCAAACUGUUGCCUCGGCGGGGUCACGCCCCGGGUGCGUCGCAGCCCCGGAACCAGGCGCCCGCCGGAGGGACCAACCAAACUCUUUUCUGUAGUCCCCUCGCGGACGUUAUUUCUUACAGCUCUGAGCAAAAAUUCAAAAUGAAUCAAAACUUUCAACAACGGAUCUCUUGGUUCUGGCAUCGAUGAAGAACGCAGCGAAAUGCGAUAAGUAAUGUGAAUUGCAGAAUUCAGUGAAUCAUCGAAUCUUUGAACGCACAUUGCGCCCGCCAGUAUUCUGGCGGGCAUGCCUGUCCGAGCGUCAUUUCAACCCUCGAACCCCUCCGGGGGGUCGGCGUUGGGGACCUCGGGAGCCCCUAAGACGGGAUCCCGGCCCCGAAAUACAGUGGCGGUCUCGCCGCAGCCUCUCCUGCGCAGUAGUUUGCACAACUCGCACCGGGAGCGCGGCGCGUCCACGUCCGUAAAACACCCAACUUUCUGAAAUGUUGACCUCGGAUCAGGUAGGAAUACCCGCUGAACUUAAGCAUAUCAAUAAGCGGAGGAA
Molecule: ribosomal RNA, 580 nt
Filed under: Trichoderma viride
Lineage: Eukaryota; Fungi; Ascomycota; Sordariomycetes; Hypocreales; Hypocreaceae
Description: eukaryotic LSU rRNA
Rfam family: 5.8S ribosomal RNA (bases 187-340)
Source: RNAcentral